UGGGGAAUAUUGCACAAUGGGCGCAAGCCUGAUGCAGCGACGCCGCGUGAGGGAUGACGGCCUUCGGGUUGUAAACCUCUUUCAGUAGGGAAGAAGCGUAAGUGACGGUACCUGCAGAAGAAGCGCCGGCUAACUACGUGCCAGCAGCCGCGGUAAUACGUAGGGCGCAAGCGUUAUCCGGAAUUAUUGGGCGUAAAGAGCUCGUAGGCGGUUUGUCGCGUCUGCUGUGAAAGACCGGGGCUCAACUCCGGUUCUGCAGUGGGUACGGGCAGACUAGAGUGCAGUAGGGGAGACUGGAAUUCCUGGUGUAGCGGUGAAAUGCGCAGAUAUCAGGAGGAACACCGAUGGCGAAGGCAGGUCUCUGGGCUGUAACUGACGCUGAGGAGCGAAAGCAUGGGGAGCGAACA
RNAcentral lists this ribosomal RNA (407 nucleotides) under uncultured bacterium. RNAcentral describes it as "partial 16S ribosomal RNA". It matches the Rfam family "Bacterial small subunit ribosomal RNA", at positions 355 to 774 of the family's 1533-position model. RNAcentral also lists the same sequence under 1 other name. The record is from RNAcentral.